CCUCAAAGCCUGCUUUCCAUAUCUGAAGCUAGAAUGUUCCUGACGCACACAUGCGGGUCUAGGGUGCCUGCCUUAGCGACACACUGUAUUAGUGGUGUGGUCCAAGACACCUGAUUUUAAAAGGAGCCACACCUCCAGAUGCGGACGAUCUCACGGUGAGAAUGUGUUGAUGGGAGCCGAUGGCGGUCUUCAGGCAGAGUUCCCAUGACUCUGAGCUGAGGUUUACACGUGGACCCUGAAUUACUUGAAAUAGAGGCGUCUGGAUUGACAAAGAUGCAACAGCAGUUCCAGGGAGAAAUAGUAAGCAGUCAGUUCCACCAGUGGUGCUGGAGAAAUUGGACAUCAAUAUGGAAUUAAAAAUGAGCCUGGGCCUGGCGAGGUGGCCCACGCCUGCAAUCCCAGCACCUUGGGAGGUGGAGACGGGCAGAU
Molecule: long non-coding RNA, 429 nt
Organism: Cebus imitator (Panamanian white-faced capuchin)
Lineage: Eukaryota; Metazoa; Chordata; Mammalia; Primates; Cebidae
Exons: 3
Source: RefSeq, a predicted model, not a curated record